Molecule: transfer RNA, 74 nt
Filed under: Bacillota bacterium
Lineage: Bacteria; Bacillati; Bacillota
Also listed under: 2 other names
Description: tRNA-Thr
Rfam family: tRNA
About the family: Transfer RNA (tRNA) molecules are approximately 80 nucleotides in length. Their secondary structure includes four short double-helical elements and three loops (D, anti-codon, and T loops).
Source: RNAcentral
GCCCCCUUAGUUAAAUGGCAUAACGAGUCCAUGGUAAGGACUUAUUGUCAGUUCGAUUCUGGCAGGGGGCACCA